RNAcentral lists this ribosomal RNA (499 nucleotides) under Bacillus subtilis. Its description in RNAcentral is "bacterial SSU rRNA". It matches the Rfam family "Bacterial small subunit ribosomal RNA", at positions 793 to 1292 of the family's 1533-position model. Lineage: Bacteria; Bacillati; Bacillota; Bacilli; Caryophanales; Bacillaceae. The record is from RNAcentral.
GUCCACGCCGUCAACGAUGAGUGCUAAGUGUUAGGGGGUUUCCGCCCCUUAGUGCUGCAGCUAACGCAUUAAGCACUCCGCCUGGGGAGUACGGUCGCAAGACUGAAACUCAAAGGAAUUGACGGGGGCCCGCACAAGCGGUGGAGCAUGUGGUUUAAUUCGAAGCAACGCGAAGAACCUUACCAGGUCUUGACAUCCUCUGACAAUCCUAGAGAUAGGACGUCCCCUUCGGGGGCAGAGUGAUAGGUGGUGCAUGGUUGUCGUCAGCUCGUGUCGUGAGAUGUUGGGUUAAGUCCCGCAACGAGCGCAACCCUUGAUCUUAGUUGCCAGCAUUCAGUUGGGCACUCUACGGUGACUGCCGGUGACAAACCGGAGGAAGGUGGGGAUGACGUCAAAUCAUCAUGCCCCUUAUGACCUGGGCUACACACGUGCUACAAUGGACAGAACAAAGGGCAGCGAAACCGCGAGGUUAAGCCAAUCCCACAAAUCUGUUCUCAGG